Molecule: long non-coding RNA, 401 nt
Filed under: Aquila chrysaetos chrysaetos
Lineage: Eukaryota; Metazoa; Chordata; Aves; Accipitriformes; Accipitridae
Description: lncRNA (ENSACCG00020006355.1)
Source: RNAcentral
GGGGUGAGGCUGCGGAAUCCCGAGCCGCGGAUGGGGCGGGGAGGGAGCGCUGCUGGGACACGAUGGGGUUAAGCUGGGUCGGCCGCCAUUUUGGAUGCCGAGCCGCCUCGCUGCGGGAAGGUCUUGCUGUUGCCUCAUAUCAGAAAAACCUACCAGUGAAUAGCUGCCAGUUGAGGCUGCAUGCGGUUGAUCCUUCCAUCAUCUCUGCAUGUGUACAUAUCCCUACCAAACUCUGAAAUUUCUAUUCCAUAUGAUGCAGCACAGGUAAAUGGUUGUAAGAAUUGUUUUUAAACAGGCAAGCGAAACAUAAUCUUUCACAUUCUAGUUCUAAUAAACAGCUGAAGCAUUUAGUUGAAACUGUCAACUGAGAAAUGUCUGGUGUGAAGAGAGUUAGCCCAAAU